UAAGUACACCUUUUCCUCUCAUUUAUUUGUCUCACAAUUCUCUACGGUUUCUAAUAGUUUCAGUUCCAAACGCAGAUUUUCAAAGAUCUACCGCCAUGGGGAGGAGACCUGCAAAGUGUUAUCGUCAGAUAAAAAAUAAGCCUUACCCAAAGUCACGGUAUUGCCGUGGUGUUCCUGAUCCAAAGAUCAGGAUUUAUGAUGUGGGGAUGAAAAGGAAAGGUGUGGAUGAGUUCCCUUUCUGUGUGCACCUGGUAUCUUGGGAGAAAGAAAACGUCUCUAGUGAAGCUCUGGAGGCUGCUCGAAUUGCUUGCAACAAAUAUAUGGCCAAGUUUGCUGGAAAGGAUGCUUUCCACUUGCGAGUCCGUGUUCACCCAUUCCAUGUCUUGCGUAUCAACAAGAUGCUUUCCUGUGCUGGAGCUGAUAGGCUUCAAACUGGUAUGCGAGGUGCUUUUGGCAAGCCACAGGGCACUUGUGCUAGAGUAGCCAUUGGUCAGGUUCUCCUUUCUGUUCGUUGCAAGGACAGCAACAGCCAUCAUGCACAGGAAGCCCUUCGCCGUGCAAAGUUCAAGUUCCCUGGUCGCCAAAAGAUUAUUGUCAGCAGGAAGUGGUAUGGGUUUUACAAAGUUCAGCCGUACUGAUUAUUUGAAAUACAAGUCAGAGAAUCGGAUUGUUCCUGAUGGUGUUAAUGCUAAGCUUCUUGGAUGCCAUGGACCUCUGGCGAAUAGAGAACCAGGAAGAGCAUUCCCGUCUGCUACUGCUACUGCUUAAUAUCUUAAGUUGCUCAAAAUCUGAAAGUACUUGACCGAGUCUUAAUAGUGUUUUGAGGCUUUAUUUAUCAUUAAUGCUAGUGCAUGAUGAAAGAACUUUUGUUUUGUUGAAUAGAAUAAAUAGGCUUAUCCUUCAAACUUUAACUCAUGUCUUUGCUCAAAAAAUCUGAUAAUUGUUCUAUUACUUUCAUUAUACCGCGUUUCAAGUAACUCUACUUUUUUUUAAAGGUUAGCAAUCACUUGGCAAUGUUGUGUAUUUUGCAACUUUUAUAUGCAUGACGAGUAUUAAUUGUUUACGUUCUUGUAUAAUUCUCAGUUAUGUAUAUUUUGCUACUCUGUGGUCUAUACUCGGCUGUUGGGCAAUUAUUAUUUUGAUUAAAAUUAUGAUUCAAAAUUUAUAGUUUUUAA
Molecule: RNA transcript, 1175 nt
Organism: Durio zibethinus
Lineage: Eukaryota; Viridiplantae; Streptophyta; Magnoliopsida; Malvales; Malvaceae
Gene name: large ribosomal subunit protein uL16
Source: RefSeq, a predicted model, not a curated record